GACGAACCGUCCAGACGUUAUUCGGAUUCACUGGGCUUAAAGGGUGCGUAGGCGGCUCAGAAAGUAGGGUGUGAAAGCCCUCGGCUCAACCGAGGAACUGCGCCCUAAACUACUGGGCUUGAGGAACGCAGAGGUAAGCGGAACUUACGGUGGAGCGGUGAAAUGCGUUGAUAUCGUAAGGAACACCAGGAGCGAAAGCGGCUUACUGGGCGUUUUCUGACGCUGAUGCACGAAAGCUAGGGGAGCGAACGGG
Molecule: ribosomal RNA, 253 nt
Filed under: uncultured bacterium
Lineage: Bacteria
Description: partial 16S ribosomal RNA
Rfam family: Bacterial small subunit ribosomal RNA
Source: RNAcentral